Non-coding RNA from Rattus norvegicus (Norway rat), 2477 nucleotides. The record is from RefSeq and is a predicted model, not a curated record. Lineage: Eukaryota; Metazoa; Chordata; Mammalia; Rodentia; Muridae.
AAGGCAGGAGAAAAAACUUCCUUUUGGAGAGCAAGAGCAAGGGGGCAGAUAGAAUGUAGGAAGCCAAAGGCUGUUACUCCGAGUGGUGGAACCACCAGAGGAUUUCUAAUACAGAAUAGUUUAUAAAAUUAGGAUGCUAGAUUCUGCGCCCAGUGAUUGUGUUAACCUGUUGAUUCUAAAACAAGAUUGUGUGGUGUUUUCCUUCACACGCUGACUCAACUGGGUUCCAGAGAAGGUUUGACUUUUUUACUGGGCUUGCUGAGGACAGGCAGCUGGACCUGGCUUGAGGCACAAGUUGUGACCUCUAAGUUUGACACUAGAGUGCAGAUCAGAUUCAAGCAGGAUAUGGCUGCUAAAUCCCCGGCAUUGGAAGGACAGGGAAAGGCAUCAAGAGGCCCAUGCUGGAGGAGACAGUACUAUGGCCAGAAGCAGGACAUAGCAGUCACCAUCUCUCUCCCAGAGAAGCUUGUGGCUUCAGGAGGGUUUGCUCAGCAGAAUGCUAAGUCCUCUGUAAGUGGGUUCCUUUCCUCUCUCUUCGAGACACAUCUGUUCUCCACAAGCAUGUGGCCAAACGACCACCAGUGGGUACAAGGGAGUGGGGAAGCAAGCUGUUUAGCCUGGAGUGUGGAGUUAUAACAGCAUGUCCACAGCAGCCUCCAGAAGCGGGGGGGCUGCAGAAGGUGCCCAGCAGGCUUGCAAUAACUGAGCAUCCGUAGAGCUAAUGAGAUGUGCCUUUCCCAGGACACCAGGUCUCACUGCUGGCUUUCCCCUUCCCAAGCCCCUAGCAGGGAGAACAAAGCCACAGCCGUGGGGCCUGUGGCUGUCGGUGCCUCAUGAAAACAUAGGCGGCAGCUGGCCCUGACCGAAGGAUCUCUAUGGAAAAUGGAAACAGAACCUCAGACUCUGGCCAGGCUGGUGAAUCAAACCUUCCAUUUCAAUGAGAUGAAGUGCUAAUUGGUGUAUUGUGAACCAAGGACUCAUCAGAUGGAGAAAGAUGUGAUUUACAUGGCCGCCUGCAUCCAGGCACUGGCCUUCAGACUAACAGGAAGACAGAAGAGAUGGAGGGCACACUUACACAGGCAACGGGAGCCCAACAGGCCCACAGGCCCACGUAUACAGCUGGGCCUGGUUAUGGAGCCUCAGGGCACAUCAGCCAUCAAUCCUCGAUCACCCAAUGCCCUGACAGGAAGCUACCAAGGCCUUUUAAAAAUGCAAAUCUGAUCACAUCACUGUUCUGCCCAGGGGCUUCUGGGCACACUUAAAAGACAGGCAAGACAGCCCAGGGCUAACUAAAGCUGUGUGAAACAAAAUCUAGCAGCCUUGGAUUAGAGCCCAAAGUAUAAAACAAAUGCCCACGAGUCCACACUGACAUAAAUAAGUGAUUGAAUACAUUAGUAAAUGGGGGAGAGAGACUAGCCUCCCAUGCAAAAGGAUCAUAAAUAACUUAUGUAGGCCUCCCCCUAGCAGAAGGGAGAAUGGCUGCCUGCCCUGCAGUGGGGCAGCACACAAUGACACCCUCUCAGUAGCUAUAGGAUGGCCGAGAGCAGCCAUCCAGCCAAAUCAACACCAACAUCCAUCAGCUGACACUGGGACCCUCCAUUUUAUAAAAAUGAUACCUUUAGGCCCAAGAGUUGGCUCAACAGGCAAAUAUGCCUACCAUAUUAGCCUGGCCCCCUAACUUUAACCCUGGAACCCAUGUAAAGGUGCAAAGUGAAAGCCAGCAUCAAAAAGCUGUCCUCUGGCCCUCCAAAUAAACACCAUGGCAUGUGCUUUAUAUUUAAAAGAAAAAGGUUUAUUCAUUUUUAUUUUGUGUUUGUGAAUGUUUUGCCUGCACAUACCUGAAGCAUGUGUCUGCAAUGCCAACAGAGGCCAGCAGAGGGCGGUGGAUGCCUUAGAACUGGAGUUGCAGGCAGUUGUGAGCCAGUAUGUGGGUGCUGGGAACUGAACUGGGGGCCUCUACAGAAAUAGCCAGUGCUCUUAACUAUUCAACCAUCUCCAGAACCUUAGUUUAAAAAAAGAAAAGAUACACUUUAAAUCCAUCAUCUUCAUCCAAAAUCAUGGCCGCAGUCUAACCAUAAGAAAGACAUCAGCCAAGUUCCAGUUGAGUGGUACUUUGACCUGAACUGUUCGAACUAUCAACUAUCAAGAUCACCAAAUAAGACAGGCCUGAAAACUGCCACGACCGAGGAGCAUGUAGGCAAACUAAAAUCAAUCGUGUCCUGAGUGUCACCUGGGACAAGAAAGGGCAUUAGAGACCAACUACAGGACUCCAAGUAAUGGAGACGUCAGGUAACAAGAACAGGUCAAUAGGGGGUCAGUAACAGUGUCAUAUUAGCAUAAACAAUACUAAUAGAAAAUCAGCAGAGGGCACUGUGGGUUAGAUAAACAGAAUAUUAUUUUUUAUCUUGUAUAUUUUUCUGUAAAUCAAAACUGUACUUUAAAAAACUAUUAAUAAAAACAUUACCAAAGGAAGCAAA